This 8164-nucleotide long non-coding RNA is filed under the name Theobroma cacao (cacao). RNAcentral describes it as "long non-coding RNA (TCAC_LNC005769)". The record is from RNAcentral. Lineage: Eukaryota; Viridiplantae; Streptophyta; Magnoliopsida; Malvales; Malvaceae.
UACAUUGCCAAUUGUGUUAGCUUAACAGCUCUCAUCUACAUUCAAGACAAUGUGAGUUGGGGUUUAGCAUUUGGGAUUUGCACCGUCCUGAAUGCUAUUGCUUUGGUACUUUUUUUAUCGGGAAAACGAUAUUACCGACGCAUCAAGCCUAAGAGAAGCCCAUUCCUUAGCAUUAUGUGUGUAAUAUUUGCAGCGAUUCGGAAGAGAAAUGUCCCAGGCACUUUUGGCAGUCAAGAUUAUUAUUAUGGAAGUGUUGAGAUGACAAAUAUCUUUAAUAAUGGUCCAAGUAAAAGUUUAAGGUACUACACUUUCCAUUUCAAAUAUAAAUCGAAGAACUUGAAAAGCGCUUGCUAGGAUCUUUGAUCAUGCAUUUGCACAAUUUUCAUGCAGAUUCUUGAAUUGCGCAGCCCUAAAAAUUGAGAGUGAAGAUAGUCAAUCGAGUCGUUCCAAUGCAGGAUCAUGGAAGCUCUGCACAGUGGAAGAAGUGGAAGACCUCAAAACCCUACUCAAGAUCAUGCCAUUAUGGUCAAGUAGCAUUCUCUUAAGUACCACCAUAGGUGUGCUUAACAGCCUGGCAAUCGUCCAAGUUCUAACCAUGGAUCGACAUCUCGGACCACACUUCAAAAUCCCAGCAGGUUCUUUCAUAAUGUUUAACCUACUAGCCACAGCUCUCUCAAUCUUUAUCAUUGACCGUUUCCUCCACCCAGCAUGGCAAAAGUUCAUCCCUAUUUGGCCUCUGACACCCCUUCGACGAAUCGGGAUUGGCCACAUCAUCAAUAUCCUUGCCAUGAUGGGAUCUGCCCUAAUCGAAAUGAGGCGUCUCCAUGUGGUCCGAACACAUCAGCGGGUCACUAAUCAGUCUGACUAUGUGGUACCCAUUUCCGGUCUAUGGCUUGUUGUGCCACUAACAAUUUUAGGUAUUGGUGAGGCAUUUCACUUCCCUGGACAAAUUGCAUUGUACUACCAAGAAUUUCCGAAGUCAUUGAAAGGUACUUCCACGGCAAUGAUAUCGUUACUAAUUGCAAUCGGGCUUUAUCUAAGUACCGUCAUCAUGAAUUUAGUUCGUAAAAUAAUAGGAUGGUUGCCGGAUAACAUUAACCAUGGAAGAUUGGAUAAUGUGUUUUGGAUGUUGGCAGUAAUUGGAGUAGUGAACUUGGGAUAUUAUUUAGUUUGUGCAAAGUUGUUCAAGUAUCAAAAUCUAGAGAAAUCUAAUGACUCUGGUAGUCAUGUUCACUAGAAGGAAAAUUUCUCUUCUUUGAGAUAAUUGUGUUUGUUUGGAUUUUAUUUUCACGUUUGUUGCCAAUUUGGAUGUAAUUUCUAAGUUUUUUUACUUUGAAAUAAUUGUGCUUGUUUGAAAUUUGUAUAAUAAAUUUUCAUGUUUGUUGCGAAUUUGGCUGUAAUUUCCAAGUUUACUAUAUGAAUUGGAUAUAAAUAAAAUAAAUUUAUUCCAAUCUUUCAUAACCACUUUUAAAAUCUUUCAUUUGUGUUUAUGGCAAGUCAUUAAUUUAGAUGGAUAACUUGACUUUUCUCUUGAUUCCUUCAUUGCAUCCUUUCUAAUUAACUCAUAAGAAGGUAAAAUAAGAGAUUAUUAAUCCUAACAAUGAACUAAGAAUAUAAUACAAUCGUACCAUUUAAUAUAAAAAUAAAUUGCAACAACAAUAAAUUUAUGAUCAUUAUUUAAAGUUAUAUAUAUAUGUAUUCGCGUGCGCGAAAUUUAUUUUAAAAAAACAUGAGAUAUUAUUUCAUAUGGUUAACAAACUUUAGAAGUGUAAUUACAAUACUGUAGCCCCCAAGGAUGAAAAUUCAUCCUACUCAUGCCACCAACAUUACAAACGCAAUAUACAAAGCCUUGUGGACACAACAUAUUAAUACUACAGCAACAUAUUUCCCAUGUGACCUUCAACACGUCAAACUAUAGCAAACCACACACACUAGAACAAGAAUGUGCCAUAAUCAUGCAUUACACAACACAAAACAUGUACUAGAAUCAGGAUUUAUUAUAAACAACCAGCAACUCCUUAGUACACCCUACUCCAUCUAGGAAUGGUGACUGGGAGAGGUGACUUAAGGAUAUCUAUGGUGGAACUUUCGAGCCAAACGUGCUUCCCUUGAUUGAGUACUUGGCUUUGGGCACGCCAUUCAAAAUGGUUUCAAGGCUAGAAGCAGAAUGCAAAACCAACUUUGUAAACAAUGGCUGCUCUCCAUUUAGGACUUCCUGCAUAUCAACUCCUUCAACGAAACUAUCCCCCAAUUUACUACUUACGCGAUCACAAGCAAAAACAAAAAAAAUAAAAACAUAAUAUAGUUCAUAUUGAAAAACAUUAGUCAAGAUUAUGUAUAGAUCAAUUUGCAAAUAUCAAGAUUGAAAAUUAAGAGAAAAAUUAAGUAGUUAACGAAGAAGUCUGUUAUGUCUUUCUCUGAUAUGGGGUACCCUUUGAAAAAUGUUAAGAAAAUAGUUCUAUUCUCUGUUGGGACUUCUUGAUUAUUAUUAUUAUUAUUAUUAUUUCUUCCAAACCCUUAAUGCAAAUGGAGUGUGUAUUACAUAUUCAGUAGUUCCUCCAUUUCCUCAUCCAAAGACUGUCUUUGAGUCUUGAUAUUAUAAGGACCAACUUCUUGGAAAAGACACAAAUUGCUGGAAUUCCUAUUGGGCCAGAAAACUCGCUUAUUUCCCAUGUUUUGAUCACCAAAGAUUCCAACCUCAGAAUUAUAGUUGUUGAAUACAGGCAAAGUUGGCCUAGUCAAUGGACCAUAAAACCUUGAUGGCUCCAAACUUUGUUCAACUCUGUGGUGGGCAUCCAUUGAAUUAAUAGUCAAUGCUUGUUGCAAUAUAUCUCUAGAGGCUCGAAAACAAACAUCCUGAAUAUUUUGAAUAAUCCCAAGAAUAAUACGAAGACGAUUAUGAUGAAAGAAACGAAGAGAGGCCCAAUUUUUCUGUCAAUCCUUGAAUCAAAGGAAUGAGAUAGUUGGAGUCUUUGAAAUUAUUGUACGGGAAUGCAUCACUCUUUAUACAAUUCAAGCAGAGGGCAGCCUCCCUAGCCAAUGCAUUGAUCAGAUUAUUAGACCAGGGUUGAAUAUUGAAAACCAAGUUUCAAGCAGGGUUAUCGCCAUCUCCAACCCAAAGGAGGAAAGCCAUCACGUGAAUGGACUCGCCUAAAUCACGUCGGAGGUUCAGAACAAGCCUGGCAAAGAUGUGUCGAUCAAUGGUAUGAAACACAUUGAUUAAUAAAACCAUUUGAGUCUCCCAAGAAGUAGAUGAAGAGGAAGCAACCAUUGUGUGUGGGAGGAAAUCGGAAAAUUUGUAUUGUUAUCAAAUGUUAGUUUUCAAGAUUUUAUAUAAAGGAAAGGGUGCCACUGAAGGAAGGUUUCAUCAUGAUUAGCUGUAACUUUUCAAGAGUUGUGGCUUUUAAAAAAAUAUAAAACUUUCGAAGAGGUGUUGCUUUUCAUACAAAACUUUUGAAGAGGUAUUAUUUUGAAUUUUACAAAAAAUGACAAAUUUGAGUGAAUUUCUUUAUUGAGAAUUUCAAAGCAACGGUCGAAUUUUAGGUAAAUUUCGUUUGAUUUAAAAGAAAAAUAAAAAUUCAUGAAGAUUAUUCGGAAUGAAAUGUUACCAAACUCAAUUUCUCCUGCAAAAAAAAUACUAACCAAAAACAAAUAAAAUAAAAUUGUUCUCCUGAGAUUCUUCUUUGCUGCCGAGUAAAUUGGUUAUUGGCUCAUUUUCAAAUAUCUUCUAACAUAUAUUGCAAGUUUCCAGGUCUAGAAUUAUAGACGCUGUCCUUGUUUCUCCAUGUCCUCACUUUAUAAGAUCAAGUAGAUCGAGGCACGAGUACUGGGUUUUAUUUUGUUCAUGUAUUCCAUCUAUUAAGAGUCUAGACAAGCAACGUCCUGUCUACUGAAUUGAUCACAGAAAUGCACAUUCUUUUUUCCCAGCAAAUACAUAUUUUUGUAUUCGCAAGUAUGGGAUUUGUUACUUUCGCACAAUAUGAUGUUCUUUCUUGUAGGGCUGACAUAUUUGGUGUUUCAGUGUGUGAAAACUGAAAAGUUUUCAGUUCUUGGUGGUCUAAACCAAAAGUUUGUUAACGUCAUUUCUGUUAACUAUUAAAUAUUGCAAAAAAUAAACUUCCAUGUCUCUCCCAGUGUGCAAAACGUAUUAAUGCAUGAAUUAAUUUAAGUAAAAAAGGAGGGGGUGUGCUUGCCAGAAUCCAGAUUUAUUUUUAAGCUGUAUCCACCAGGUCUGCUCUCUCCCUCUCUCUGGAAUCAGGUUCAAUGGAUAUAAAUAUUGUCAAUUGGAGGAACGAAUACAAGAAUAUAUGGUUUGCGUCCUAUAAACAGUUGUCCGUCAGGAUGAUUCUGGAUUAAUUCGGAACAGAUUUAAAUUGGGGAUGAAAAAUUUCUGUACAGAUGUGAGAUGCGUCCAUCAUUGGCAUGAAGCAUUGCCACACUUUCUGUCUUUGAUAAGUUUUUCAAGAAGCAAACCAGUAGUUUUUUACUCAAACCAUGCACAUCUUCUUCUCCUUUCUUAGAUUUUUUUUGAAUUCUCUAAAGAUGAAUAUCAAGUAAAAUAUAUUGUUGAUGGAUACGUUCCUUGCUUCAGGGUCCUGGUGCUUUCAUAAGUGGAAGUGACUGCUGUUUCAUGGUCGUGUUCCAGUAUGGGUCCAUUGCGUUAUUUAAUAUUCGUGAACAUGAAGUGGAUGCGUAUCUGAAAAUUGUUGAAAAGCAUGCAUCGGGAUUGCUUCCAGAAAUGAGAAAGGAUGGUGAGUUCUUAUGUCCUCAUUGAAUUUAUCUUUUAAAUCACUAUUUUAUGCUUCUUAUCUAGACUUUCCAUGAGUAGAGAUCUAGCAUUUUGAGACUGUAAAGUUGGGAGCUAACAUGAUUUUAUUAAUACAACAAUAAAUAAUGUGCUUAUGCACUUAAAUUCUGUAAUAGUGCAUCCUUAUGUUUUGCAGAAUCAAACAAAUUCCCUUCAUCAUCCAUCUCGUCAAGAGAAGAGUAUUUAAGAAUGCUCAAAACAAAAAAAAUUUAACAUCUUGAAGAUAGACUUUAUGGACCAAAUGCCAUCUUUAUCCUUUCUUUCUCCUGUCUCUUAAAAAGGUUCUGUUUACCUCUUGCUUCUUAUUCUUCCUCUUUCUUUUGCAAGCCCUUUUCGUAACUUGUUAUGUUGUUGCGAACAAGGAAGAAGGUUCUUCCUAUGAAGGAUUAAUUGCCUUAAAGCAAUAGAAAACCAUGGCUUAAUUAUCUUUUGUCAUCGUCUUUUCUCUCUCUCUCUCUUGCCAAUUGUUUUCUCUCCUUCUUAUGCAUGUGCACACUUGCUCUCAUUAACUUACAUUAUAGUUUCUCAUAUCCUGUGUAUAUUGACACACACUAUAUAUACAGGCAUGUGAAAUAGGGUUUGGUGGGAAGUGAGGGGAUUCAGAUAGCUUGGGUAUCAACUUGAUAUUUUCCUCUUAUUUCAAUGGGUUUCUUCUACGUAUUGGUUUUCAUUCAUUUUUGACUAGAUCUUUUUUAUAAAACAUAUUCUGCUUGAUCAUUCUUCUACACUAUGCCCUGUUAUUAAAGAUUAGAUCUGUUGCUUUCCUAAGGAAAAGGGAACCACGUAAGGUACUGCAUCAUAGGAGUUUUUGUUAUAUUUGAGUUGAUAUGUUAUGAUUUUGCAGAGUAUGAGGUAAGAGAGAAGCCAAGUUUAAACACAUGGAUGCAAGGCGGAUUAGAUUACAUUAUGUUGCAGUAAAAAACAUUAUGUUGCGGAUUAAAUUUGAUAUGUUAUGACUUUACGGACAUUAACCGUGGGAUGGAAAAGACAGGAACAUUUACUAUGGACAGUAAAAAACUUUUUCAGAUAGUGGGAAAGGCGAAUACUAAUCUUGCUGACGUGAUUCUUAAGCUUUGGACAUUUUGACAGGUAACUUCUUACAGCCCAUUUUGAAGGUAAUUGGCACAUAGUAUGUGUCAUGACCUUGGAAUAUCAUAGGCUUGGUCAUGAGAGAGCACUAUGUAUUAUCUCAUUCAUAAAUACCUGAUAGAGCUAGCUAGUGGAAGUACUAGAGACAUUGAGAGAUAUACUUGCAUAUAUACUCUGCCAAAAUUCCAUAACUUCUUCGUUUUCUCAAAGAGAGAAGUAUAUAUGGUACCCUCACAGUUAGAACAAAUUGAAGGAAGCAAACUCUCCACUCCUAAUGAAGAUGGAAUAACGACUAUGGAUUACAAGGGAGGAGGACGGACAACUUUCCCCUUUAUUAUAGGUAACACUUUUGGUUAAUCAAGUUUUUCUUUUCAAUGUCUCGAGUUAUUCGAUAUUCUUUUAAUUUAUCUGUACAGGUAAAUUUUAUUUAAAACUCAUUUCGAGUUAAUUUAACUAAUAAAUAAAUAGAUCGAUUUCUCGUGUUAAUAACUUGGAUUUUGAAUCUUAAAACUCCCUUUCAUGCUUAAAAAUAGAAUCAAUUUAAUCCAUGCGAGUGCUUUAAGCAUAUGCAGGAAGUAUGACAGGGCUUCCCUGGUAGCCGGUGGAUGGGGAGCAAAUUUGAUAGUAUUUCUGAUAAAUGAGUUCCAUGUGGAGAGCAUCACUGCAACUCGGAUCAAUAAUGUUAUACUUGGCUGCAACUAUCUCUUUCCCAUUGCUGGAGUCAUAGUUGCCGACACCUUCUUUGACUCUUACACAGUCAUCACCACAUUUGCCUUUGUCUCCUUGUUGGUAAUAGCACUAUUAAAUAUCUCACUUAUUAAAAAACUAUUUAAUUAAUAUUUAUGAAAUAAAUUAAUCUUAAUCAACAUGUUUUAACUUCUUCUAAUGCUUUUCAUGAUUGGUGUGGGUUGGUAAGAAAUCUUGUUAGAUGGUGGGAUUUUUUAAUUUUUUUUCCUUUUGUGAAUGGUGAGAUUUUCUUGUUGUUUUGGGAUAGUUGGUGCGGUUCAGUAGGAUAAUUUGUCAUAUAGUGGGGAUUUUUUUUUGUAAAUGGUGGAAUUUGUUUUUGAAAAAAGAUAAUUCAUUUUAUAAUGAUAAAUGUUUGAUUACACAUUAAUUAACUAUCUUCAAAAUAUAUAAUAAUAAAUUAAAAUAUUCUACUCGAUGCAAAGAAUGAAUAUAAUAAAACGUUCAUUCAAGCCUCAUAAAUUGUGGGUUUGAUGUAAUUUUCAAUUAUAUGUUCGUUAAUUGAUUGGUUUAUUUAUUGAUUUUUUCAUAUAAAAAGUAAUAUAAUUUACUAAUAAUUAUAAUUACUACUUUUACAUUAUACGUGUAAAAUUCAUUGAAAAAAUUUACAUAGGUCCCAUCGCUGUAACAUAUAGAUUGACUUUAAUCUGCAUAUCUUAUCAUGCUUUUUCUAAUAUUCUGAGGCUAUGUACACUUGAAUAUGUCAACAGUACUUCAGCUUAGCUAUGAUGACUCGAAAAUUCAUAAAGAAAUGAAAACGUUUUAUUUCUAUACACAAACAAUAAAACAGAACAUAAACUUUUCUUUUGUCCCUUUAUUACUUAUUUUUUUUUCUUUUACAUAUAUAUGAUCUUGGAUUACAUAUUUUAUAAUAAAUAACUUGACAUAUAGUAUUAAAGAUAGAUUAUUAUUUUUUUGAAAGGCAUUAAAGAUAGAUUAUGACAUAAUCCUUUGCCUGUGAAAUCUAUGUCCAUUUUCCUUGAUUUGCAUGUGUUAGAGGUGAUAUCUUAUACCAAUAAAUGGAUUUUUUUAAUAAUAUUUUGGCUUUAUAUUUAUUCAAACUUAAGCAUCAGGGUAUGAUAUUGUUAACCCUUACAGCCACAAUCCAUUCCUUGAAGCCUUUGCCAUGUGCAAUGGGUGCAUUCAAAUGUCCUACUCCAUCAAAGCUUCAGUUCGCAGUCCUUUACAUAGCUUUAGCACUCGCUUCACUUGGCGUCGGGGGCACAUGUUUUACAAUUGCAACCAUGGGAGAUGAUCAAUUUGACAAUGCCAAAGAUCAAGGGAUAUUUUUCAAUUGGUAUUUUUUGGCAUUAUACGUUGCCAAUUGUGUUAGCUUAACAGCUAUCAUCCACAUUCAAGACAAUGUGAGUUGGGGUUUAGCAUUAGGGAUUUGCAUUGUCGUGAAUGCUACUGCUUUGGUACUCUUUUUAUCAGGAAAACGAUUUUACCGAUGCAUCAAACCUAAGGGAAGCCCAUUCCUUAGCAUUCUGUGUGUAAUAUUUGCAGCGAUUCAGAAGAGAAAUG